Molecule: ribosomal RNA, 215 nt
Filed under: uncultured fungus
Lineage: Eukaryota; Fungi
Description: partial small subunit ribosomal RNA
Rfam family: Eukaryotic small subunit ribosomal RNA (bases 88-215)
Source: RNAcentral
GACCUGGCCGGGCGGUCCGCCUAACGGUGUGUACUGUCUGGCCGGGCCUUACCUCUUGGUGAGCCAGCAUGCCCUUCACUGGGUGUGUUGGGGAACCAGGACUUUUACCUUGAGAAAAUUAGAGUGUUCAAAGCAGGCCUACGCCCGAAUACAUUAGCAUGGAAUAAUAGAAUAGGACGUGCGGUUCUAUUUUGUUGGUUUCUAGAGUCGCCGUA